AGAUUGAACGCUGGCGGCAGGCCUAACACAUGCAAGUCGAGCGGCAGCACGGGUACUUGUACCUGGUGGCGAGCGGCGGACGGGUGAGUAAUGCCUAGGAAUCUGCCUGGUAGUGGGGGAUAACGCUCGGAAACGGACGCUAAUACCGCAUACGUCCUACGGGAGAAAGCAGGGGACCUUCGGGCCUUGCGCUAUCAGAUGAGCCUAGGUCGGAUUAGCUAGUUGGUGAGGUAAUGGCUCACCAAGGCGACGAUCCGUAACUGGUCUGAGAGGAUGAUCAGUCACACUGGAACUGAGACACGGUCCAGACU
Molecule: ribosomal RNA, 311 nt
Filed under: uncultured soil bacterium
Lineage: Bacteria
Description: bacterial SSU rRNA
Rfam family: Bacterial small subunit ribosomal RNA
Source: RNAcentral